CAUCACCCUCAGCAUUCUCAAC
RNAcentral lists this microRNA (22 nucleotides) under Panagrellus redivivus. RNAcentral describes it as "prd-miR-7579-5p". The record is from miRBase by way of RNAcentral. Lineage: Eukaryota; Metazoa; Nematoda; Chromadorea; Rhabditida; Panagrolaimidae.